GUGAAUCAUCGAAUCUUUGAACGCAAAUUGCACUCUCUUCGGAGAGUAUGCCUGUUUGAGGGUCAGCCUAUAAAAAAUCGACAUCGUUGCUGUUACGCGGUAACAUUCGUCGGAAAUUGGGUCAUCUUAAACCUUUGGGUUUAAGCGGCUUAAAAUUUUUUUUACGAUUCCAUGAACGUUUCUAAGAUUUUAUUCUUUACUACGUUUAAGUUUUCGAUCUUUAUUAGCCUUGGCAG
RNAcentral lists this unclassified non-coding RNA (236 nucleotides) under Glomus sp. RNAcentral describes it as "partial contains 5.8S ribosomal RNA and internal transcribed spacer 2". The stretch from base 1 to 65 matches the Rfam family "5.8S ribosomal RNA", at positions 84 to 154 of the family's 154-position model. The record is from RNAcentral. Lineage: Eukaryota; Fungi; Glomeromycota; Glomeromycetes; Glomerales; Glomeraceae.